CGAACGGGUGAGUAGCGCGUGAGGAACCUGCCUCAAAGAGGGGGACAACAGUUGGAAACGACUGCUAAUACCGCAUAAGCCCACGGGUCGGCAUCGAUCUGAGGGAAAAGGAGUGAUCCGCUUUGAGAUGGCCUCGCGUCCGAUUAGCUAGUUGGUGAGGUAACGGCCCACCAAGGCGACGAUCGGUAGCCGGACUGAGAGGUUGAACGGCCACAUUGGGACUGAGACACGGCCCAG
Molecule: ribosomal RNA, 237 nt
Filed under: uncultured bacterium
Lineage: Bacteria
Description: partial 16S ribosomal RNA
Rfam family: Bacterial small subunit ribosomal RNA
Source: RNAcentral